This is a long non-coding RNA of Sitophilus oryzae (rice weevil), 561 nucleotides long. RefSeq lists it as uncharacterized. The record is from RefSeq and is a predicted model, not a curated record. The transcript has 2 exons. NCBI's taxonomy places the organism in Eukaryota, Metazoa, Arthropoda, Insecta, Coleoptera, Curculionidae.
AUUUUCUGUUAUGUGUUCUGUCAUUUUGUAGUCCGUUUUGAAAGUGAACAGACGUUUGCGUUUACACACCUUUAAAUUUUCUGGAAAUUUUUCGAAAAACUCUUAGCUAAAUAUUAUACACAAUGGCCCCUAAACAAAGAAUGCGUAUCGCCAACGAAAAAGCCAGCAAAAUGGUCACAAUGAGGGGCAACGUACCCAAAUCGUCGAAACAAGAGAAGGAAUCAUCCCCUGUAGGUCCAUGGCUGUUGGCUCUCUUCCUGUUUGUUGUAUGUGGCUCGGCAGUCUUUCAAAUUAUCCAGUCUAUCCGUAUGGCAUAAAACCUCAAUCCUUUUUGUAAGACAAAAAUAUCCUCUAUUUUUUUGACAGAUAUAUUUCGUUUUCUACAAACGUAAUGUUUUUUUUCUAUGAUACGCUAGUGCAAUUAGUUGUUUCUUAACUUUUGUAAAUUUAUACCAGCCCGUUUGUGUAAUUCUAUUUUAUGCAAUGUAAUUUACCGAACCUAAAGUGUGUGUACAAUAAAAUAUGUAAGGACUGUAAUGAUAUUGUAAUUUAUAGUUUAAA